AAGGCAGCAGUGGGGAAUAUUGCACAAUGGGCGCAAGCCUGAUGCAGCCAUGCCGCGUGUAUGAAGAAGGCCUUCGGGUUGUAAAGUACUUUCAGUCGUGAGGAAGGUGUUAAGGUUAAUAACCUUAGCAAUUGACGUUAGCGACAGAAGAAGCACCGGCUAACUCCGUGCCAGCAGCCGCGGUAAUACGGAGGGUGCGAGCGUUAAUCGGAAUUACUGGGCGUAAAGGGCACGCAGGCGGUUAAUUAAGUUGGAUGUGAAAUCCCCGGGCUUAACCUGGGAAUGGCAUUCAAGACUGGUUAGCUAGAGUCUUGUAGAGGGGGUAGAAUUCCAUGUGUAGCGGUGAAAUGCGUAGAGAUGUGGAGGAAUACCGGUGGCGAAGGCGGCCCCUGGGACAAAGACUGACGCUCAUGUGCGAAAGCGUGGGGAGCAAACGAGGAUUAGAUACC
RNAcentral lists this ribosomal RNA (449 nucleotides) under uncultured bacterium. RNAcentral's name for it is "bacterial SSU rRNA". It matches the Rfam family "Bacterial small subunit ribosomal RNA", at positions 345 to 786 of the family's 1533-position model. The record is from RNAcentral.